RNAcentral lists this long non-coding RNA (443 nucleotides) under Physcomitrium patens. RNAcentral's name for it is "long non-coding RNA (PPAT_LNC002585)". Lineage: Eukaryota; Viridiplantae; Streptophyta; Bryopsida; Funariales; Funariaceae. The record is from RNAcentral.
CAUGAGCCGGGAUAAGCUUGGUGCUACCUCUUUGUCUCUUUGUUUGUUUCUUUUCUUUGUUAUUGAAGAGUAAUGGAUAGUUUUUGAAUACUGAGAAGUGAGUCUGUAAAAUAAAUCAGAGAUUGAUUUAUGAGUUAUUGAUUAUGUAAUGGGAGUACUGAGUGAUUGAAUUAUAUGAGGAGUUAUUGAAAAAUUAUGAUUGUUGUUUAUUGAGAGUUGUGUGUGUUUUAGACAAAAGAAGUCUGUGAUUACAAAAAUUGUGUGAAUUCAGAUUGUUAGAGUGAAGUGUAUUAUUUUUGGUAUUGGAUGGAAAUUAUUGUAUUUUGAGCAGUAUUUUGAGAGUGUAGAGUUGCACAUUAUUGUUAUCAAUUUAUGAAGGAGUAUUCUUAUUGGGAGAAAGCAUCAUAGUGUUUCUUGGUAUUUUAGUGGUUUGAAAUACGGUU